GGAAAUGUGCCUGAGAAAUAUAGGACUACUUUGAUAGAGUAGAACACAGAGGUUAAAAUCCACUCAUUUCCU
This 72-nucleotide transfer RNA is filed under the name Basiliscus basiliscus. Its description in RNAcentral is "tRNA-Ile". It matches the Rfam family "tRNA". From Rfam's summary of the family: Transfer RNA (tRNA) molecules are approximately 80 nucleotides in length. Their secondary structure includes four short double-helical elements and three loops (D, anti-codon, and T loops). Further hydrogen bonds mediate the characteristic L-shaped molecular structure. tRNAs have two regions of fundamental functional importance: the anti-codon, which is responsible for specific mRNA codon recognition, and the 3' end, to which the tRNAs corresponding amino acid is attached (by aminoacyl-tRNA synthetases). tRNAs cope with the degeneracy of the genetic code in two manners: having more than one tRNA (with a specific anti-codon) for a particular amino acid; and 'wobble' base-pairing, i.e. permitting non-standard base-pairing at the 3rd anti-codon position. The record is from RNAcentral. Lineage: Eukaryota; Metazoa; Chordata; Lepidosauria; Squamata; Corytophanidae.